AGAGUUUGAUCCUGGCUCAGGAUGAACGCUAGCGGCAGGCAUAAUACAUGCAAGACGAACGGUAAGCUUUGUAGCAAUACAGAGCCUAGAGUGUCGUACGGGUGCGUAACACGUAUGCAACCUACCUUUUACAGGAGUAUAGCUCCCCGAAAGGGGAAUUAACCCUCCAUAACAUGACGACUGGGCAUCCAGUUGUCAUUAAAACUGCAGUGGUAAAAGAUGGGCAUGCGUUUGAUUAGUUAGUUGGCAGUGUAACGGACUACCAAGACGAUGAUCAAUAGGGGACCUGAGAGGGUGAUCCCCCACACUGGGACUGAGACACGGCCCAGACUCCUACGGGAGGCAGCAGUGGGGAAUAUUGGACAAUGGGCGAAAGCCUGAUCCAGCAACGCCGCGUGAGGGAUGACGGCCUUCGGGUUGUAAACCUCUUUCAGUACCGACGAAGCGCAAGUGACGGUAGGUACAGAAGAAGCACCGGCCAACUACGUGCCAGCAGCCGCGGUAAUAC
RNAcentral lists this ribosomal RNA (508 nucleotides) under uncultured bacterium. RNAcentral describes it as "bacterial SSU rRNA". It matches the Rfam family "Bacterial small subunit ribosomal RNA", at positions 8 to 526 of the family's 1533-position model. The record is from RNAcentral.